UACGUAGGGACCAAGCGUUGUUCGGAUUUACUGGGCGUAAAGAGUGCGUAGGCGGUUUCGUAAGUCUGGUGUGAAAUCUCCCGGCUUAACUGGGAGGGUGCGCUGGAAACUGCGGAGCUGGAGUGUGGGAGAGGCAAGCGGAAUUCCUGGUGUAGCGGUGAAAUGCGUAGAUAUCAGGAGGAACACCUGCGGUGUAGACGGCUUGCUGGACCACUACUGACGCUGAGGCACGAAAGCGUGGGGAGCAAACAGG
RNAcentral lists this ribosomal RNA (253 nucleotides) under uncultured bacterium. Its description in RNAcentral is "partial 16S ribosomal RNA". It matches the Rfam family "Bacterial small subunit ribosomal RNA", at positions 524 to 776 of the family's 1533-position model. The record is from RNAcentral.